Molecule: ribosomal RNA, 287 nt
Filed under: uncultured Bacillota bacterium
Lineage: Bacteria; Bacillati; Bacillota
Description: uncultured Firmicutes bacterium partial 16S ribosomal RNA
Rfam family: Bacterial small subunit ribosomal RNA
Source: RNAcentral
AGUGCUUGCACUAAAUGAAACUAGAUACAAGCGAGCGGCGGACGGGUGAGUAACACGUGGGUAACCUGCCCAAGAGACUGGGAUAACACCUGGAAACAGAUGCUAAUACCGGAUAACAACACUAGACGCAUGUCUAGAGUUUGAAAGAUGGUUCUGCUAUCACUCUUGGAUGGACCUGCGGUGCAUUAGCUAGUUGGUAAGGUAACGGCUUACCAAGGCAAUGAUGCAUAGCCGAGUUGAGAGACUGAUCGGCCACAUUGGGACUGAGACACGGCCCAAACUCCUAC